CCGGAUCAGGCCAAACCGAAGAGAUUCGUCUCUUCGGGGGUUGUAGGGCCUCCAUAAAGGUACCAGCAAGGGUAACGGAAGCGCUCUGGAAAGAGCUCCGAGACAGGGUGAUAGGCCCGUACGUGAAACCUGAGCUGGAUCUGGAGGUACCCUGAGUACCACAGGGCACGAGCAACCCGGUGGGGAAUCUGGGAGGACCAUCUUCCAAGCCUAAGUACUCCUGUGCGACCGAUAGUGAACAAGUACCGUGAGGGAAAGGUGAAAAGCACCCCGGUUAGGGGAGUGAAUAGUAUCUGAAACCGUCCGCUUACAAGCCGUUCGAGGGCUAUGCGCAAGCACGCCUGAGAGCGUUCCUUUUGAAUGAUGAGUCCGCGAGUUGCGGUAUGUCGCAAGGUUAAGCCGUAGAGGUGUAGCCGCAGGGGAAACCGAGGUUCUAACCGAGCGUAGAGUGGCAUGCUGCAGACCCGAAGCGUUGUGAUCUACACGUGGCCAGGAUGAAGCGCGGGUAAUACCGACGUGGAGGUCCGAAUCCACC
RNAcentral lists this ribosomal RNA (535 nucleotides) under uncultured bacterium. RNAcentral describes it as "bacterial LSU rRNA". It matches the Rfam family "Bacterial large subunit ribosomal RNA", at positions 259 to 784 of the family's 2925-position model. The record is from RNAcentral.